This 2001-nucleotide long non-coding RNA is filed under the name Canis lupus familiaris (dog). Its description in RNAcentral is "lncRNA (ENSCAFG00845013160.1)". The record is from RNAcentral. Lineage: Eukaryota; Metazoa; Chordata; Mammalia; Carnivora; Canidae.
AGAUCCGGGAUUGAAUUCCACAUUAGGCACCCUGCAUGGGGCAUGCUCACUCUCUGUCUGAGUCACUCAUGAAUAAAUAAAAUCUUUAAAAAAAAAAAGGUGGAAAAAACACAAUGUUCAUCCCCUGAUGAAUGGAUAAAUAAUACCUGAAAUAGCCAUAUAAUGGAAUAUUGUUUAGGAAUAAAAAUGAAUAAAGUAUUCUAUACAUAUUCUAUUCUAUUCUAUUCUAUUCUAUACAUACUAUAACAUGGAUUAAGCUUGAAAAUGUUAUACUAAGUUAAAGAAGACAGCCAUGGGAUCCCUGGGUGGCGCAGCAGUUUAGCGCCUGCUUUUGGCCCAGGGCGCGAUCCUGGAGACCUGGGAUCGAAUCCCACAUCGGGCUCUCGGUGCAUGGAGCCUGCUUCUCCCUCUACCUGUGUCUCUGCCUCUCUCUCUCUCUCUCUCUCUAUCAUAAAUAAAUUAAUUAAUUAAUUAAUUAAUUAAUUAAAAAGACAGCCAUUAUAUAAUCCCAUUUAUAUAAAAUGUCCAGAAUAGGCAAAUCCAUACAGACACAAAGUAGAUUAGUAGUUGCCUAGGACUAGGAAUGAGGGAUGCCUGGGUGGCUCGGGUGGUGAGGCAUUUGCCUUUGGCUCAGGUCAUGAUCUCAGGGUCUUGGGAUUGAGUCCCACAUCGGGCUCCCUGCUCCAGGGGAACCUGGUUCUCCCUCUCCUCCCCACUUGUUCUCUCUCUCUCUCUCUCUCUCUAAUAAAUAAAUAAAAUCUUAAAAAAAAAAAAAAACACACUAGGGAUGAGAGGGAUGCUGAGGGAAAAAAGAAAGUGACUGCUAGUGGACACAGGAUUUCUAUUCAGGGUGAUGAAAUGUUCUACAAUUGUGAUAAUAGUUGCAAAACCCUGUGAAUAUACUAAAAAUAUUGAAUUAUAUAAACUUUGAAUGAGUUAAUUAUAUAUGAGUGAUAUCUCAAUAGAGCUGAUAGAAAAGAACAAAUAUAUUAUUGGGACCUCAAUGUAAAUGAUUUUGUUCCUUUAUUAAAAGAGCAGGACUAUUGGGGGCACCUGGGUGGCUCAGUCAGUUGGGCAUCUGCAUUUGGCUCAGGUCAUGAUCUGAGGAUCCUGGGAUUAAAUCCCACGUCAGGCUCUCUGCUCAGUGGUGAGUCUGCUUGUCCCUCUGCCUCUGCCUGCUGCUCCUCUUUCUUGUGCUAGCUCGAUCUCUCUCUGUCAAAUAAAUAAAUAAAAGAGCAGGGCCCUUAGCAUGGGUUAAAUUUUUUUUUAAUUUUAUUUAUUUAUUCAUGAAAGACACAGAGAGACAGAGAGGUAGAGACAUAGGAAGAAGGAGAAGCAGGCUCCAUGCCAGGAGCCUGAUGUGGGACUUGAUCCUGGGACUCCAGGAUCAUGCCCUGAGCCAAAGGCAGGCUCUUAACCACUGAGCCACCCAGAAGUCCCGGGUUAAAUUUUUUUUAUCAUGUAUCAGUGACAAGAAAUACCUGAAAUAAAAAAAAAUCACAGGGAAAUUUUUAAAAUAAAGGUCUGGGCAAAAUAUAUAUCAGAAGAAUUCAAGAAGAAAACAAAGAGUGGCAAAUUAUAAUUAGAUAAAAUAUUCUCUGAUCAUGCCUAUUACAAAAGAAUAAAAUAUUGAAUAUAUAUAUAUAGUCAACUAUAAAUUAACAUCACAAGCAAGUCUAAUCACUGAAUAUUAAAAAGUACUUUAUUGAUUAAUUCUUGGGUCAAAACAGAAUACAAACUUGAAAUUACAGAUUAUUCAGAAAUUAACAAUAGAUGGUUCAUACUACAAUCUAUAGGAUGCAAUCACAGCUACAUUACAGAGGAAAAUUAAUAGCCUUAAAAUGUUCUUUAAAAUAACCUUGAAAGCUACUAAUGAAUAAGCUAAGCAUUUAACACUAGGAAACUAGAAAAAGAGUAACAAAUCAAAAGAAGAGAAAAAUAACCCAUAAAAAAAAGCUUACAUUAAUGAAUUAGAAAACAAAGAUGAAAUUAAUAAAUAAA